This 235-nucleotide ribosomal RNA is filed under the name uncultured bacterium. Its description in RNAcentral is "partial 16S ribosomal RNA". It matches the Rfam family "Bacterial small subunit ribosomal RNA", at positions 15 to 236 of the family's 1533-position model. The record is from RNAcentral.
GAUCAUGGCUCAGGAUGAACGCUAGCUACAGGCUUAACACAUGCAAGUCGAGGGGAAACGGACAUCGAAAGCUUGCUUUUGUAUGGGCGGUCGACCGGCGCACGGGUGAGUAACGCGUAUCCAACCUGCCCAUCACUUGGGAAUAACCUUGCGAAAGUAAGACUAAUGCCCAAUGAUAUCCCACGAAGGCAUCCGAAUGGGAUUAAAGAUUUAUCGGUGAUGGAUGGGGAUGCGU